RNAcentral lists this transfer RNA (74 nucleotides) under Anaerolineae bacterium. It matches the Rfam family "tRNA". From Rfam's summary of the family: Transfer RNA (tRNA) molecules are approximately 80 nucleotides in length. Their secondary structure includes four short double-helical elements and three loops (D, anti-codon, and T loops). The record is from Rfam by way of RNAcentral. Lineage: Bacteria; Bacillati; Chloroflexota; Anaerolineae.
GGGCGACUAGCUCAGUUGGUUAGAGCGCUUCCCUUACAAGGAAGAAGUCACAGGUUCGAGUCCUGUGUUGCCCA